ACGUAGGAAGCAAGCGUUAUCCGGAUUUACUGGGCGUAAAGUGAGCGUAGGUGGUUUUUACAAGUCGGAUGUGAAAUCUCUCGGCUUAACUGGGAGGGGUCAUCCGAUACUGUUGAACUAGAGGACAGCAGGGGAAGGUGGAAUUCCCGGUGUAGUGGUGAAAUGCGUAGAUAUCGGGAGGAACACCAGUGGCGAAGGCGGCCUUCCAGGUUGUUUCUGACACUGAGGCGCGAAAGUGUGGGGAGCGAACAG
This 252-nucleotide ribosomal RNA is filed under the name uncultured prokaryote. Its description in RNAcentral is "partial 16S rRNA". It matches the Rfam family "Bacterial small subunit ribosomal RNA", at positions 525 to 775 of the family's 1533-position model. The record is from RNAcentral.